GGUAAGAUGGCUGAAUUAUUAGGUUAAAAAUUGUAAAUUUUUAUAUGGUUAAUACCUCUUAUCG
This 64-nucleotide transfer RNA is filed under the name Ceratocombus japonicus. RNAcentral's name for it is "tRNA-Tyr". Lineage: Eukaryota; Metazoa; Arthropoda; Insecta; Hemiptera; Ceratocombidae. The record is from RNAcentral.